GCCGCUAUGGUGAAAUUGGUAGACAC
This 26-nucleotide transfer RNA is filed under the name Anemopaegma floridum. RNAcentral's name for it is "partial tRNA-Leu". RNAcentral also lists the same sequence under 29 other names. The record is from RNAcentral. Lineage: Eukaryota; Viridiplantae; Streptophyta; Magnoliopsida; Lamiales; Bignoniaceae.